UCAUGGCACGGAUUCCCUUGCGUAAAACAGUUGUAGUACACGACAGGUGCACGUACAAGAGAGGAGGAGUUAUAGGGGGUUCAAUCACCGCCCCCUCCUUCCGGAAUUCCAUGAAAAUUAUGAUGAAAGUAAAUUUUGAUUCUUAAAAAUAGAUUCUGUCAACGAAUAAGGUAAAUACAAUUUUGGUUUUAUUUUUAUCUUCUUACAAGGUAGUAGGGGAUAUACUGCUAUUAUUGUCAUUUCUAAUUUGUUGUGGGUAUUCCUGUUUUUAAAAAAUUAUAACUGAUACGGCGAUAUCACAUAGUCCGCAUUAUCAUCACAAUAAUAUAAAUUACAUUAUCAUUUAGGCUGUAUUUACUAAAAAAAUAUUAAAUGUAAAAUUUAGUAGUAUGUAGCUAAAAGACUAAGAAGCUGUCCUAGGAUAAUGGUGACGAGUGCAGCCACUGUUAUAGGUAAUUUAAUGUACAUCUGUAAGCAACGAUUAACCAUUGUUAACGAAAAAACGAUUCUGAGCGGAGUUCGGUUGAUAGUAUUGUUUUGUCAAUAACACACAUGUAAUAUUAGGAUAAAAUAAUUGCAUAUUUCCUUUAAUAAUAUUUGUUUAAUAUUGUACUUAUUUACUCGUUUUUUCUGAUUUUCUCAUGUUUACCCAUUUAUUGGGAUUAUUUCUGGGAAAAUCAAAGAAUGAGUUCCCUAAAGUACAACCCCAGUCAAAUUUCUUUUCAGAACAAGUGCUAUAACUGUAUAUCGGAGUAAAAUUUCUAGUAGAAAAGUUGUCCACAG
Molecule: non-coding RNA, 783 nt
Organism: Cinara cedri
Lineage: Eukaryota; Metazoa; Arthropoda; Insecta; Hemiptera; Aphididae
Source: the annotation of a GenBank genome assembly